This 449-nucleotide ribosomal RNA is filed under the name uncultured bacterium. RNAcentral's name for it is "partial 16S ribosomal RNA". It matches the Rfam family "Bacterial small subunit ribosomal RNA", at positions 329 to 793 of the family's 1533-position model. The record is from RNAcentral.
GACCAGACUCCUACGGGAGGCAGCAGUGGGGGAUAUUGCACAAUGGGGGGAACCCUGAUGCAGCGACGCCGCGUGGGUGAAGAAGCGCCUCGGCGCGUAAAGCCCUAUCGGCAGGGGAGAAGAAAUGACGGUACCUGAAUAAGAAGCACCGGCUAAAUACGUGCCAGCAGCCGCGGGAAUACGUAUGGGGCAAGCGUUAUCCGGAUUUACUGGGCGUAAAGGGAGCGCAGGCGGCGCGCCAAGUCUGAUGUGAAACCCCGGGGCUCAACCCCGGGCAUGCAUUGGAAACUGGCGGGCUGGAGUGCCGGAGAGGUAAGCGGAAUUCCUAGUGUAGCGGUGAAAUGCGUAGAUAUUAGGAGGAACACCAGUGGCGAAGGCGGCUUACUGGACGGCAACUGACGCUGAGGCUCGAAAGCGUGGGGAGCAAACAGGAUUAGAUACCCUAGUAU